CCCACCCCUCACCGUCCUUAACCUCCAAGCCUCCAAUAUGGUCCUGAAGCAGUACUGUCAAAACCCCAGGAUCAGUAUGCGAUGUAAUUCCAAAGGUGAGAUCAGGUUGAGGGCAGUGUGGAUAGUAAUGGCCCACAAGUGUCUUGGCUUCCAAAAAAGUCAUCUCCUUCAAUCUUCUUGGCUUCAAUCCCAGCCCUUCGCACAGCAACUCCAUCAACAUCUCUGCAACUCGUGUAGCCUGUUGGUUCCACUCAAGUAACUCGUUCCUACAAAUUUCAGGGAUGCCCUCAACCUCUGCUGGGACAGGACCCAAUCUCACCUGAAGUGUAUCCCUCCAGCUCGCAGCUUUAGCGUUAUACAAGUCAACGUUGGAAAUGAAAGAUACUCCAGUACCCAUCUCCCUCCGGUACCACUGCUUCUUGAACUCCGUCGGCAGCUCAUGAAACGCCUUGACCGCCUCAAUCGUCCGGUUCAUAACUUCCAGCGGCACCCCAUGAUUCACGAUCUGAAAAAAUCCAAGUUUCCGACAGGCAUGUGAAACCUGCUCCACAAUCGCCCGCCUCCUGUCUGAAUCAACGCCUGAAAGGUCAAUGGUGGGGAUGACUUGGGAUUCGGAUUUUGGAACGGAUUUAAGAUCGGAUAGCGCUCCGGUUGGGUGGAUAAACAUGCGGGGAAUGGAGGUGAGGCCAGAGUCAACCAGGCCUUUAACUCCGAUUUUAGAAUCAUCGAAUCGUUUCACCUCUUCCAAAUGAUUAUACUCCUGAUGGGUUGCCUCA
RNAcentral lists this unclassified non-coding RNA (776 nucleotides) under Hevea brasiliensis (rubber tree). Lineage: Eukaryota; Viridiplantae; Streptophyta; Magnoliopsida; Malpighiales; Euphorbiaceae. The record is from RNAcentral.